AAACUGUUAGCCUUCUACCUUGUGCAUUCAUUUUACUAUCUAAUAGUCUUAGACUAGUCAAUCUCCACAAAUAAUUCUUUUAUCCUUCUAUUUUAAUUCUGUUGCUUUUACAGGUGGUUCUGGCAGUUUUCACAAUUUGCUUUGACUCUCUUUUAGCCAGAGUUGAAUCCUUUACAUUUCCAUAUUUCUACCCUAUGAGCUAUAUUCUUAUAUGUUCCUGGCCGUGAUCAUUAAUUUAACCAUUCAAAACUUCUAUACAAAGUCCUUAUUUUAUUUCUUUCCAGAUUUCCAUCAGCCAGUUUGUAUUCCAAUCCUUCUUUCAUGCUCUAAUUUCAAUUAAAUCAAAACACUGUUAUUAAUUGAUCUUACUCCAAACUUCCACGUAGGUCCUAAACCCAAAAAAUUAUCAAUUAAUCAAAUUUUUCGUACCAUGUAGGCUACGAUAAACUGUUUACUGAGCUUUCCUGUAUCAUCAAGUUUUAUUGUUCUAGUUAGGUUCUCUGCUUAGAAUGUUUAAUUCAUCAUACUUGCAUGCUUAGCUUCUGAAACAUGUUGAAUGUGAUGAUAAAACAAGACUGUAGUUGACACUUGACAUGAAAAAAGAUGGAAAGAUGGCUCUGUCAUGAAGCAUUUGCUAUGUUGAAUAAGUUGCUGUGGAGUCAUCUAGGUCCCUCUCAUGGUCAGAUGUUCACACAUAUGCAUGCAUUGGUUGAAACACUGUGAAACCAAGGUAGAGCUAUAACCUGUUCCCAAAAUACGUGUGAUUCAUGUCUCUUUUUUUUUUUCACAGUUCAAAUGUAUUUAACUGGUUUAAACUUUAGAACUUGCCUCAUAUGUGGCCUUUAUUUAUAUAUACCUUUUAUCGGAUACUUGUAUCAAAUAUAUUUGUACUUGUGCUCUUCAGAAGAUUGAGAUGCUCUUUCAUUAGUAUUUUUAAAAAAUGCAGAUUAUGAUAUUUACUUUUAUGGUCUGCUAAUGUUGUCAUCUCAUUUAUUUGCAGCUAUCUGUGCUUAAAGAUUUGGUAUAAUGUGAUAACUUUGCUUCUUGCAGUUAUUCAGUAUGAGGCACGCUAAA
This 1074-nucleotide unclassified non-coding RNA is filed under the name Hevea brasiliensis (rubber tree). The record is from RNAcentral. Lineage: Eukaryota; Viridiplantae; Streptophyta; Magnoliopsida; Malpighiales; Euphorbiaceae.